GGCUAUAGCUCAGCGGCAGAGUGCUUGCCUAGCAUGCGUGAGGCACUGGGUUCAAUCCUCAGCACCA
This 67-nucleotide transfer RNA is filed under the name Marmota monax (woodchuck). Its description in RNAcentral is "tRNA.Ala". The record is from RNAcentral. Lineage: Eukaryota; Metazoa; Chordata; Mammalia; Rodentia; Sciuridae.